UUAAAUCCGGAUACUCCAAAGCAAAAUCCUCCAAUUGAAAGACCUCCAACACUAAAUCCCAAUACACCAUACUAAAUUCCAAAUGUCCAAAACCCACCAAUUCAAGAAGAAGGAUAUGCUAGGGAAAACCGAAGGGAAGGGUAUGGAAUGUACGAUGAUCCUUACUUGAUGGAAGAUGGGAUGAGAGGUAGAAGGGUUGAACAAAGGGAAAAUGAGGGCUUGGAGGUAGGGGCGGCCAAGGUGCUUGGGAAUGGGAUGUUGGUCAUAACACUAUAAAAAUGGGACUUCUAAUCUUUCGGAGAGAAAGUGAUCCCGAAGAGUUUCUUGCAU
Molecule: long non-coding RNA, 330 nt
Filed under: Capsicum annuum
Lineage: Eukaryota; Viridiplantae; Streptophyta; Magnoliopsida; Solanales; Solanaceae
Description: long non-coding RNA (CANN_LNC014937)
Source: RNAcentral